This 1663-nucleotide ribosomal RNA is filed under the name Escherichia coli. Its description in RNAcentral is "partial 23S ribosomal RNA". It matches the Rfam family "Bacterial large subunit ribosomal RNA", at positions 1282 to 2925 of the family's 2925-position model. Lineage: Bacteria; Pseudomonadati; Pseudomonadota; Gammaproteobacteria; Enterobacterales; Enterobacteriaceae. The record is from RNAcentral.
UCAGAAGUGCGAAUGCUGACAUAAGUAACGAUAAAGCGGGUGAAAAGCCCGCUCGCCGGAAGACCAAGGGUUCCUGUCCAACGUUAAUCGGGGCAGGGUGAGUCGACCCCUAAGGCGAGGCCGAAAGGCGUAGUCGAUGGGAAACAGGUUAAUAUUCCUGUACUUGGUGUUACUGCGAAGGGGGGACGGAGAAGGCUAUGUUGGCCGGGCGACGGUUGUCCCGGUUUAAGCGUGUAGGCUGGUUUUCCAGGCAAAUCCGGAAAAUCAAGGCUGAGGCGUGAUGACGAGGCACUACGGUGCUGAAGCAACAAAUGCCCUGCUUCCAGGAAAAGCCUCUAAGCAUCAGGUAACAUCAAAUCGUACCCCAAACCGACACAGGUGGUCAGGUAGAGAAUACCAAGGCGCUUGAGAGAACUCGGGUGAAGGAACUAGGCAAAAUGGUGCCGUAACUUCGGGAGAAGGCACGCUGAUAUGUAGGUGAAGUCCCUCGCGGAUGGAGCUGAAAUCAGUCGAAGAUACCAGCUGGCUGCAACUGUUUAUUAAAAACACAGCACUGUGCAAACACGAAAGUGGACGUAUACGGUGUGACGCCUGCCCGGUGCCGGAAGGUUAAUUGAUGGGGUCAGCGCAAGCGAAGCUCUUGAUCGAAGCCCCGGUAAACGGCGGCCGUAACUAUAACGGUCCUAAGGUAGCGAAAUUCCUUGUCGGGUAAGUUCCGACCUGCACGAAUGGCGUAAUGAUGGCCAGGCUGUCUCCACCCGAGACUCAGUGAAAUUGAACUCGCUGUGAAGAUGCAGUGUACCCGCGGCAAGACGGAAAGACCCCGUGAACCUUUACUAUAGCUUGACACUGAACAUUGAGCCUUGAUGUGUAGGAUAGGUGGGAGGCUUUGAAGUGUGGACGCCAGUCUGCAUGGAGCCGACCUUGAAAUACCACCCUUUAAUGUUUGAUGUUCUAACGUGGACCCGUGAUCCGGGUUGCGGACAGUGUCUGGUGGGUAGUUUGACUGGGGCGGUCUCCUCCUAAAGAGUAACGGAGGAGCACGAAGGUUGGCUAAUCCUGGUCGGACAUCAGGAGGUUAGUGCAAUGGCAUAAGCCAGCUUGACUGCGAGCGUGACGGCGCGAGCAGGUGCGAAAGCAGGUCAUAGUGAUCCGGUGGUUCUGAAUGGAAGGGCCAUCGCUCAACGGAUAAAAGGUACUCCGGGGAUAACAGGCUGAUACCGCCCAAGAGUUCAUAUCGACGGCGGUGUUUGGCACCUCGAUGUCGGCUCAUCACAUCCUGGGGCUGAAGUAGGUCCCAAGGGUAUGGCUGUUCGCCAUUUAAAGUGGUACGCGAGCUGGGUUUAGAACGUCGUGAGACAGUUCGGUCCCUAUCUGCCGUGGGCGCUGGAGAACUGAGGGGGGCUGCUCCUAGUACGAGAGGACCGGAGUGGACGCAUCACUGGUGUUCGGGUUGUCAUGCCAAUGGCACUGCCCGGUAGCUAAAUGCGGAAGAGAUAAGUGCUGAAAGCAUCUAAGCACGAAACUUGCCCCGAGAUGAGUUCUCCCUGACCCUUUAAGGGUCCUGAAGGAACGUUGAAGACGACGACGUUGAUAGGCCGGGUGUGUAAGCGCAGCGAUGCGUUGAGCUAACCGGUACUAAUGAACCGUGAGGCUUAACCUU